This 482-nucleotide ribosomal RNA is filed under the name uncultured bacterium. RNAcentral's name for it is "partial 16S ribosomal RNA". It matches the Rfam family "Bacterial small subunit ribosomal RNA", at positions 30 to 507 of the family's 1533-position model. The record is from RNAcentral.
AUUGAACGCUGGCGGCAUGCUUUACACAUGCAAGUCGAACGGUAACAGGCCGCAAGGUGCUGACGAGUGGCGAACGGGUGAGUAAUGCAUCGGAACGUGCCCAGUCGUGGGGGAUAACUACUCGAAAGAGUAGCUAAUACCGCAUACGAUCUACGGAUGAAAGCGGGGGACCGUAAGGCCUCGCGCGAUUGGAGCGGCCGAUGUCAGAUUAGGUAGUUGGUGGGGUAAAGGCUCACCAAGCCAACGAUCUGUAGCUGGUCUGAGAGGACGACCAGCCACACUGGGACUGAGACACGGCCCAGACUCCUACGGGAGGCAGCAGUGGGGAAUUUUGGACAAUGGGCGCAAGCCUGAUCCAGCAAUGCCGCGUGCAGGAAGAAGGCCUUCGGGUUGUAAACUGCUUUUGUACGGAACGAAACGGCUCUGGUUAAUACCCGGGGCUAAUGACGGUACCGUAAGAAUAAGCACCGGCUAACUACGUG